AAAUUGAAGAGUUUGAUCAUGGCUCAGAUUGAACGCUGGCGGCAGGCCUAACACAUGCAAGUCGAACGGUAACAGGAAGCAGCUUG
RNAcentral lists this ribosomal RNA (86 nucleotides) under Citrobacter koseri. RNAcentral describes it as "partial 16S ribosomal RNA". It matches the Rfam family "Bacterial small subunit ribosomal RNA", at positions 1 to 87 of the family's 1533-position model. Lineage: Bacteria; Pseudomonadati; Pseudomonadota; Gammaproteobacteria; Enterobacterales; Enterobacteriaceae. The record is from RNAcentral. RNAcentral also lists the same sequence under 65 other names.